RNAcentral lists this ribosomal RNA (440 nucleotides) under uncultured bacterium. RNAcentral's name for it is "partial 16S ribosomal RNA". It matches the Rfam family "Bacterial small subunit ribosomal RNA", at positions 338 to 795 of the family's 1533-position model. The record is from RNAcentral.
CCUACGGGCGGCAGCAGUGGGGGAUAUUGCACAAUGGGGGAAACCCUGAUGCAGCGACGCCGCGUGGGUGAAGAAGCGCCUCGGCGCGUAAAGCCCUGUCAGCAGGGAAGAAAAUGACGGUACCUGAAGAAGAAGCCCCGGCUAACUACGUGCCAGCAGCCGCGGUAAUACGUAGGGGGCAAGCGUUAUCCGGAUUUACUGGGUGUAAAGGGGGCGCAGACGGCGAUGCAAGCCAGGAGGGAAAGCCCGGGGCCCAACCCCGGGCAUGCGUUUGGAACUGCGUGGCUAGAGUGCAGGAGGGGCAGGCGGAAUUCCUGGUGUAGCGGUGAAAUGCGUAGAUAUCAGGAGGAACACCGGUGGCGAAGGCGGCCUGCUGGACUGCAACUGACGUUGAGGCCCGAAAGCGUGGGGAGCAAACAGGAUUAGAUACCCUAGUAGUC